Molecule: long non-coding RNA, 415 nt
Filed under: Anser brachyrhynchus (Pink-footed goose)
Lineage: Eukaryota; Metazoa; Chordata; Aves; Anseriformes; Anatidae
Description: lncRNA (ENSABRG00000003087.1)
Source: RNAcentral
UGAAAUUGCCUCAUCUGCUAGUGGCUGUGUCCAUGUCUAGUCCCGCUUCCAUGGAAACACAUGUCAGAGCUGCAAACACAAAGUAAUGGUUUCCAAAAGCUGCCUUAAAAAUAACCCUGAGCUUACUGUUGUUUUGUUUGUGAUCCUCUCCAUACCAAGACUGUAAGGAGGGUUCCCAGAUAUACCAGACAGAUCAGAGAAGAUUGGGAGAUUGCUGAUCAGGUCUUCUGGGGACAAGUCAGAUUCACUGUACAUGAAUUACAUAGUAAGUGUAGUGUGUGUGGGGGGGGUGUGGAUGUGUGCAUGUGUAUGUACAUCUCUACCCUUGCCUUAAGUUUUCAACAAUAAUUGGCUUAAUUAGCCAUUGCUGUUUGUCAGCAAGAGGAGAGCCUUCAAAUAUACUUUUACAAAGAAA